RNAcentral lists this ribosomal RNA (252 nucleotides) under uncultured bacterium. RNAcentral's name for it is "partial 16S ribosomal RNA". It matches the Rfam family "Bacterial small subunit ribosomal RNA", at positions 524 to 776 of the family's 1533-position model. The record is from RNAcentral.
UACGUAGGGUGCGAGCGUUGUCCGGAGUACUGGGCGUAAAGCGCACGCAGGCGGUCUCUUAAGUUUGGAGUGACAGUUGGUGGCUUAACUGCCAAAGUGCUUCGAAAACUGAGAGACUUGAGGGCUUCAGAGGGACACGGAAUUCCGGGUGGAGUGGUGAAAUGCGCAGAUAUCAGGAGGAACACCGAUGGCGAAGGCAGUGUUCUGGGCCAGUACUGACGCUGAGGAGCGAAAGCGUGGGUAGCAAACAGG